This 440-nucleotide ribosomal RNA is filed under the name uncultured bacterium. Its description in RNAcentral is "partial 16S ribosomal RNA". It matches the Rfam family "Bacterial small subunit ribosomal RNA", at positions 338 to 795 of the family's 1533-position model. The record is from RNAcentral.
CCUACGGGAGGCAGCAGUGGGGGAUAUUGCACAAUGGGGGAAACCCUGAUGCAGCGACGCCGCGUGGGUGAAGAAGCGCCUCGGCGCGUAAAGCCCUGUCAGCAGGGAAGAAAAUGACGGUACCUGAAGAAGAAGCCCCGGCUAACUACGUGCCAGCAGCCGCGGUAAUACGUAGGGGGCAAGCGUUAUCCGGCUUUACUGGGUGUAAAGGGGGCGCAGACGGGGAUGCAAACCAGGAGUGAAAGCCCGGGGCCCAACCCCGGGACUGCUCUUGGAACUGCGUGGCUAGAGUGCAGGAGGGGCAGGCGGAAUUCCUGGUGUAGCGGUGAAAUGCGUAGAUAUCAGGAGGAACACCGGUGGCGAAGGCGGCCUGCUGGACUGCAACUGACGUUGAGGCCCGAAAGCGUGGGGAGCAAACAGGAUUAGAUACCCCAGUAGUC